This 83-nucleotide transfer RNA is filed under the name Methylacidimicrobium sp. AP8. Its description in RNAcentral is "tRNA-Tyr". It matches the Rfam family "tRNA". From Rfam's summary of the family: Transfer RNA (tRNA) molecules are approximately 80 nucleotides in length. Their secondary structure includes four short double-helical elements and three loops (D, anti-codon, and T loops). Lineage: Bacteria; Pseudomonadati; Verrucomicrobiota. The record is from RNAcentral.
GGGCAGAUACCGAAGCGGCCAAACGGGGCAGACUGUAAAUCUGCUGGGUAACACCUUCGCUGGUUCGAAUCCAGCUCUGCCCA